GAAAAUCCGUCGAAUUUAAAAAUCGUGAGGGUUCAAGUCCCUCUAUCCC
Molecule: transfer RNA, 49 nt
Filed under: Eltroplectris triloba
Lineage: Eukaryota; Viridiplantae; Streptophyta; Magnoliopsida; Asparagales; Orchidaceae
Also listed under: 19 other names
Description: partial tRNA-Leu
Source: RNAcentral